Molecule: ribosomal RNA, 628 nt
Filed under: uncultured prokaryote
Description: bacterial SSU rRNA
Rfam family: Bacterial small subunit ribosomal RNA
Source: RNAcentral
AUUGAACGCUGGCGGCAGGCCUAAUACAUGCAAGUCGAGCGGCAGCGGAAAGUAGCUUGCUACUUUGCCGGCGAGCGGCGGACGGGUGAGUAAUGUCUGGGAAACUGCCUGAUGGAGGGGGAUAACUACUGGAAACGGUGGCUAAUACCGCAUAACGUCGCAAGACCAAAGUGGGGGACCUUCGGGCCUCACGCCAUCGGAUGUGCCCAGAUGGGAUUAGCUAGUAGGUGGGGUAAUGGCUCACCUAGGCGACGAUCCCUAGCUGGUCUGAGAGGAUGACCAGCCACACUGGAACUGAGACACGGUCCAGACUCCUACGGGAGGCAGCAGUGGGGAAUAUUGCACAAUGGGCGCAAGCCUGAUGCAGCCAUGCCGCGUGUGUGAAGAAGGCCUUCGGGUUGUAAAGCACUUUCAGCGAGGAGGAAGGCAUCACACUUAAUACGUGUGGUGAUUGACGUUACUCGCAGAAGAAGCACCGGCUAACUCCGUGCCAGCAGCCGCGGUAAUACGGAGGGUGCAAGCGUUAAUCGGAAUUACUGNGCGUAAAGCGCACGCAGGCGGUUUGUUAANUCANAUGUGAAAUCCCCGAGCUCAACUUGGGAACUGCAUUUGAAACUGGCAAGCUANA